GGUGGCUCCUCGAUCAUCAUGUUUAAAGCCAUCCUCUUCCACAUAAGGAAUGAGCUGCUAUAAAUGUGGAGGGGGAAAACCUAUAUUAAGACUUAUGGAGAACGUCUGGUAGAAUCUGGAGUUAUGGGCGGUCGACUCUCCCCGACGGCGUCGAUCUCCUCCCAGCGCGCAAACCGGCGCUGGACGUCGAACGGCGGGACGUGAUGACGUCACGCAGUACGGACUCGGAGCUAUGGAUGCCUUCUGUGAAUCGGCAGGGCGCAGCCAUUUUUUUCCGCCCCGUACAGGCACUCCUUCUCAGACCUCCGCCCUCCUCAGAAGAAAAUGGCCCGCGCGAUCCGCCUCCGUUACUUUCCUGCGUGUUUCAAUUGUGUUUUGAUCGGGAGGACUACAUUCCCCAUUGUCUCCAGCCAAUAUAAUGUAAACGGUUUGCCUUUCUUCUUUUUUCCCCCGUCUCCUGUGUGGCCGGUUCUCCCUCCAUGGCCAAGAAUAGCGCAAAAUCAAGAGGAAAAAAAAUACCUUUUUUUUUUUUUGUUCAAUAGCUUCUAUGUAAAAUGCAGGGUUUUUAGAGGCUGGAUUAGAAGCUGAAAAACGGGGGGGGGGGAGAUUAUAAAGCAGGUUUAAUGCUGGUUGCCUUUAAUUCACUGCUUUUCAACUCCAGGUGCUUUAAGAUGGGUGGAUUUCAGCUCCCAGAAUUCCCCAGCCAGGCCGACUAGGAACUUCUGGGAAUUGAAGUCCACCCAUCUUAAAGCCCCUGGAGUUGAGAAAUAUUACUUUAACUGAUGGUCAUAUACUGAAUGAGAUGCAUUAAAGGUUCCAGAUAGGAGAUGAAUUCGAGUCCAUUUAGUUGAAGAGAUAGCACAGUUUUAAGAUAUACUCAGGAUGGGAUGAAAAAUAUUUGAAGAAGGUACAUUCUUUUAGUUGGUUGAGACAAGAAAUGUAUUGCCUUGCAUUCUGUGAAGCACAAUACAAUAGAAUUGUUGGAAGUCAGUACCCACCCACCAUCCUAGAGAAGGAAAUAUUUGGGGGAAUAUUUUAAAAAAAGGCAGAAUAUUAUAUUUUCCCAAAGUAAUACUGGUAAUAGAAAAAUCUUAGACAGAAACCAGCCCCAAGUUUCCAUGCCCCAGAUAGAAACUCAGGAAAUCACCUUUUAGAAAUGCAGAUUCAGUAAUUUAUUCAGAAAGAUUGAGGCCCUAUUCAUGAGCAAACAAAUACUACAGGGCAGAAGUCCAUUCAAGACAAAAUAUUUUGAAAUCCUUUGCAGCAAGAUUUGACAGCUGACAAUAGCAGAAUGAUAAGAUUAGAUCCAGCAACCCCUCAUCCCAAGAAAUCCAACACACGACUUAGCCAUCAGCCACAAUAGAAAUUGCCCAACACUCUUAGAACACAAAAGCCCACCUCAAUGCACAUCCCCCUGGAGCAUUCCAAAAACAACCCAAAAGAAUGUAUAAAAACCCACCUAUCCCAAUCCCAUUUGGUCAGCUGCCUUAGAAUCACAUGGUGUUGUGGUUCUACAACUCAAUAAACUGGACCUUCUUUCCUAAA
Crotalus tigris (Tiger rattlesnake) is the source of this 1545-nucleotide long non-coding RNA. RefSeq lists it as uncharacterized. NCBI's taxonomy places the organism in Eukaryota, Metazoa, Chordata, Lepidosauria, Squamata, Viperidae. The transcript is spliced from 2 exons. The record is from RefSeq and is a predicted model, not a curated record.